Tribolium madens (black flour beetle) is the source of this 1492-nucleotide long non-coding RNA. RefSeq lists it as uncharacterized. The record is from RefSeq and is a predicted model, not a curated record. NCBI's taxonomy places the organism in Eukaryota, Metazoa, Arthropoda, Insecta, Coleoptera, Tenebrionidae. The transcript has 3 exons.
GAAAAUUCUAGUUUAAUGAAAAUAAAUUGUAGUGUAUUAAAAUGAUUAAAAAAUGUAUGAAGAAGAUAUUAAUGAAAUUAAAUUUAAGAGAUAUUUAAUAACGAAUCGUCGAACUUAAGCCUAAACUUAUCUGAACUUGAUAGAAGGAGGCGGCGGAGACAACAGGUACAGAAUGCGGAGCGAUAGGUCUCUCUUUGGCCUCCGUAAAGACAGGAAAAUUUCCCCCUUACUUGCGUCCCUGAUUCAUACGAGAGAAUAAUUAGUAUACCGUAAGAUGUACAGAUUUUAUAUUACCUCAGCGAGGGAUGGUCGGUACUUGAARAAAAAGUAYGGGGUUCGUGYCGGGAYAAUAAUCGRGAUAUUAAAUAAUACGAGRCGGAAACGGUAGCUCUGGAAUAUAUUAUUGAAAUARUGAAUGAAAAAUUAUUGCUCUUUUACCCUUUCUCGCAAGUUUCCUAAGCACGUGGCAGGCUGGCAGUGGUAGGUACUAAUUUCUACGAAAACUCCGAGGAAAUUCAGAAACUAAACGUUACGAUAUGUAGCUCCUCGGAUUUAGAGGCACCUGGUUCAGGUAAUUUUAAUUUUCCCAAAUUUCCAAAAGGGAUGCCUUUAGAUAGGAUUUCACUGCAACCACCAAGCGAGAGGCUUUCUCCCCGGAAAUUGCUUGAAAUGGUCAGUCACGUAUGCAAACCAAUCAGAGCUAUCGAUUCAGGGCGCGAAAUAUAGUCAAUAUCGGACCGUGUAUAAAAAGGUGAAAAUUUUGAUUUUCUCGCUAUCUUCUGAGAGCGCGCACGUCUAGUUCUUUUGAAGCUGCAUGCGAAAUUGACGUUUUACGACAGGUGAAGAGGUUAAGUUUGUUUACAUUUUGAAAUUGUGCCUUUGUGCGAAAAGACCGAUAUUGCGCCGAUAGUUAGGUAAUAGGAAGACAUUUUGCACAACACAUAAAAGGACAAGAGGGCUUUUAAACCGUACCGAGGCACCCUACAACUCGGUACGACAACACAAGAGGAACAUGAGCACUAAAAUUACCCGGAGAAGAUGCCCGGACUUCUCCGGAGGGACGGUAUGAAAUACUCCGGGGCUACCCACUCCUUUUAGCCCCUUCACAGCCAGACAACACAACUAACUCGGAAAAUAGAGAGGAAACAAGCCUGAUCCAACUCCCUCCAAAAUUGGGGCUAGCGGUACGACAAGAACAAAACGGGAAAUGACUCUAAAACUCAAAUGACGGGAGCAGUUGAGUACUAGAUGAGGUUGCAUCAACGAUCUUACAGUCCCCAAGCAUCUCUAGGGCCCUCUGACGCCCCCUAGACCGGCGAAUUUAGGUUGACACGGAUGUUAAGUCAAUGACAGUAGUACCCAAGCGUUUAUGGGACCCAAACGCCUCCCAUACCAGCGAAGCUAUUUUGUAACUAGAUUUAGGACGUUUUAAAUAAAAAUAACGAAGUAAAACCGUUACAAUCUUUAAUAGAGAAAAUUGGCUAAAAAAUAU